Molecule: ribosomal RNA, 494 nt
Filed under: uncultured bacterium
Lineage: Bacteria
Description: partial 16S ribosomal RNA
Rfam family: Bacterial small subunit ribosomal RNA
Source: RNAcentral
GACGAACGCUGGCGGCGCGCUUAACACAUGCAAGUCGAACGGAAAGGCCUGCUUUCCCUUGUGGAUUGCGGGUACUCGAGUGGCGAACGGGUGAGUAACACGUGAGUGAUCUGCCCCCAACUUGGGUAUAAGCCUGGGAAACUGGGUCUAAUUCCCGAUAGGACUGCAGGGUGGUGCCUGUGGUGGAAAACGAUUUUCUAGUGGUUGGGGAUGAGCUCGCGGCCUAUCAGCUUGUUGGUGGGGUAAUGGCCUACCAAGGCGGCGACGGGUAGCCGGCCUGAGAGGGUGGACGGCCACAUUGGGACUGGGAUACGGCCCAGACUCCUACGGGAGGCAGCAGUGGGGAAUAUUGCACAAUGGGCGGAAGCCUGAUGCAGCGACGCCGCGUGGGGGAUGACGGCCUUCGGGUUGUAAACUCCUUUCGACCGCGAGGAAGCCACCUGGUUGGAAGGGUGGUGACGGUAGUGGUAGGAGAAGCACCGGCUAACUACGUG